AAUAAGUGCAGUUUUGCACUAUUCACGUUCAACGUUUGACCGUCCGUCUUAUUUGAAAAUUGUUUAUGAUUAGUAUUUUUAUUGCUAUUAGAUGAUAAAACAUGAAUAGUACUUUAUGUGUUACUAAAUGUUUUUAAUUUUUUCAUAAAUUUUUCAAAUAAGACGGACGGUCAAACGUUGAACGUGAAUAGUGCAAAACUGCACUUAUU
Molecule: microRNA precursor, 209 nt
Organism: Oryza sativa Japonica Group (Japanese rice)
Lineage: Eukaryota; Viridiplantae; Streptophyta; Magnoliopsida; Poales; Poaceae
Rfam family: MIR812 microRNA precursor family
Source: Rfam